RNAcentral lists this ribosomal RNA (253 nucleotides) under uncultured prokaryote. RNAcentral describes it as "partial 16S ribosomal RNA". It matches the Rfam family "Bacterial small subunit ribosomal RNA", at positions 524 to 776 of the family's 1533-position model. The record is from RNAcentral.
UACGUAGGGUGCUAGCGUUGUUCGGAAUCAUUGGGCGUAAAGGGCGCGUAGGCGGGAUGGCAAGUCGGUCGUGAAAUCCUUCGGCUCAACCGAAGAACGUCGGCCGAUACUGCCGUUCUUGAGGGAUGCAGAGGAGAUUGGAAUUCCCGGUGUAGCGGUGAAAUGCGUAGAUAUCAGGAGGAACACCGGUGGCGAAGGCGGCUACCUGGACAGAAACUGACGCUGAGGCGCGAAAGCUAGGGGAGCAAACAGG